RNAcentral lists this ribosomal RNA (432 nucleotides) under uncultured bacterium. Its description in RNAcentral is "partial 16S ribosomal RNA". It matches the Rfam family "Bacterial small subunit ribosomal RNA", at positions 29 to 506 of the family's 1533-position model. The record is from RNAcentral.
AACGAACGCUGGCGGCAUGCCUAACACAUGCAAGUCGAACGAGACCUUCGGGUCUAGUGGCGCACGGGUGCGUAACGCGUGGGAACCUGCCCUUAGGUUCGGAAUAACUCCCCGAAAGGGGUGCUAAUACCGGAUAAUGUCUUCGGACCAAAGAUUUAUCGCCUUUGGAUGGGCCCGCGUUGGAUUAGCUAGUUGGUAGGGUAAAAGCCUACCAAGGCGACGAUCCAUAGCUGGUCUGAGAGGAUGAUCAGCCACACUGGGACUGAGACACGGCCCAGACCCCUACGGGAGGGAGCAGGGGGGAAUAUUGGACAAGGGGCGAAAGCCUGACCCAGCAAUGCCGGGUGAGUGAGGAAGGCCUUAGGGUUGAAAAGCUUUUUUCCCCGGGAUGAUAAUGACAGUACCGGGAAAAUAAGCCCCGGCAAACCCCGU